UUAUUGGUAACGUGGGUGGGAAAAUCGAGUGCUGAUAAUACUUGGUUGCCUUAUCAGGAGUUCGUCGAGCAGUUUCCAGAUUACAAGCUUGAGGGCAAGCUUGGUUUUGUUGGGGGAGGUAUUGAUAGGUUCAAGAAGGCUUACUUCAGGAGGAAGAAAGGAAAGGAAGCGAGACACGAGAGGGAAAGGAGUGACGUGGCAGGAGCCGUUGGAAGUUCAGAAUAAAGAAGAGAAGAAGCAAAGACUCUGAGGGAGGGAGAGGGUUUGCCGUUAGUCUGUUAUGAGUCUGUAACGGGAGUAUAUAAGUAGGAAGCUAGUGAGCGUAAAGGGUAUGCUUGUUGUUGUAUGUUCUUGGACGUUAUGAGUCUAGAAUACACAGUCGUUAUGAGACUGGUGAUCGGAGCUUACUCGCUAUGAGAGUAUUGCUUUAGAUCACACUCAAGCUAUUCUUGUAUUUCUCAUUGAUAGUAAAGAAGUAUUCCUUUGUUCAUUCAGUUACAGAUAGCUAAAGUCUAUCAUUGGUGCAGUGAAACUGGUUCGAAUCAACGCGAUGAGGUCCCCGACGGCGACUCCGGCGAGUCCGCAACGUCCGACUGCAGCGGAUGAGCCUGAGACGACGAUGCAAGAUGAGGUGGUGUUCUUGCGAGAAGGUUACACGGUGUUGAUGAAUCAAGUUGCGGAGAACAAGAUGCGAUUCUCACGACUCGAAGAUCAUUUCCAGGAGAUUAUGAAGACGCUAGGGAAACGACCGGUCACGGAGACGUCUCCGGCGGAAAAUCGCCGAUCUGUUCCUGAAUCAUCGAAUCACAACCAUCAGGUACCGAAUCGAAUCUGGGAACAAUAUCCGGAAGAAUCGCAGCUAGGUUAUCGAUCUGGUUAUUUGAAUACUGCGAAUCGUGACAGUAUGAUCAAGAAGAUUGAGAUGCCGAGAUUCAACGGUACCAAUGCGAUUGAUUGGAUUGUUGAAGUGGAACAUUUCUUCGAGGUUGGGCGUUUUCGUGAUUCAGAACGCUUGGAUCUGAUUGCGUUUGCUGUGGAAGAUAAGGCCAAGAAGUGGUUUGCUUGGGUACGGAAACGAGAAGGAUUUCGUGAUUGGGUGGACUUCAAGCAUCAGCUGGUUAUCAGGUUCGCGGAAUCGAUUGACGAUGAGCCAGAAACUCGUUUGUUCUCGAUUAAGCAGACUGGUUCCGUAGCAGACUAUGUAUCAGAAUUUGAGGAACUUUCGUCUCAAGUGUCAGGGUUGGAUGAUAAGCACUUGGAGAGGAUAUUUUACAAUGGUUUGACACAAGAGAUGAAAGAAGUGAUAAGAAUGAAAGAUCCUCAAGGCUUACCACAGUUCAUAGCAGCGGUAUUGAGAAUGGAAACAAGUGUCUUUUGUAAGGUGGUGAGUGGAGUUAAGAAGGAAGAAAACAAACAAGGGACACAACGCGGGCCAUCAGGAGGCAGAGUGUACAACAAUGGAGCUCUUCCUAAACUCCAGGACACGAGAGGUAACAAAGAGAAUCAAGGAGGGAAGAACACAGUUCGUCCUAGACAACAAUACACAGAUGCCGAGUUGGAUAAGAUGAGAAAAGAUAAGAUUUGUUUCCGCUGUAAAGCUCCAUGGUCAGUCACACACAGAUCUGAAUGUCCGAAUAGAGCUUUACGCGUGAUGACUGUAAUCAAUGGUCUACAGCUGGAAGUGGUUGAUCAGAACACGGGAGAGGAUGAAGAUCAAGAGAAUAUUACGUGUUAUGAUCAAGAACUUCGUACAUUGUCUUUGAAUUCAUUCUUCGGAUUGGACUCACCAAGGACAAUGAAGCUGAAAGGUUGUAUUAACAACAAAGAGGUGAUAGUCAUGCUCGAUAGCGGAGCUUCGCACAAUUUUAUUUCUCCAAAGAUUGUGGACAGGCUGCACUUGAAAGUGUGUGCUGAUAGCAGCCUCGACGUGUUACUGGGCAAUGGUGUUACAGUCAAAGCAGGGGGAACCUGUAAAGCUGUUACAUUAAUGCUUAAUCAUACCGAGUUCACGUCGGACUUCAUCUCUUUAGAACUGGGAAACGUGGAUGUAAUCCUUGGAGUUCAGUGGCUGGAAACACUUGGCACAUGCGAGGUUGAUUGGAAGCAACAAGUAUGGUCAUUUGUUUAUGAAGGACAGCGAGUUACACUGUAUGGCGAUGAGUCCCUGCAUUGUAAUAAGCUCUCUUUCAAGUCACUAGCUCCAAUAUAUCUUGGAAAACAUCAAGAAGGUGGAGUGCUGUUGUUUUCCUCGAGCGUUACAUCCAUGAAACCAGAGAAUAAUCCAUCAGAAUCUUGCACUACGAGUUCACUUUUAACAUCGCUGUUAGAAGAUUUCGAAGAUGUUUUUGCCAUACCGACAGGUUUACCACCACUCAGAGGCAAAGAACAUUCGAUAGUGUUGAAACCAGGGAUAUCUUCAGUCUCAGUGAGACCGUAUCGAUAUCCACAUGCAAGCAAGAUUGUGAUGGAACAAAUGGUGACAGAUAUGCUAUCAUCAGGAAUAAUACGACCGAGUAACAGUCCCUUUUCGAGCCCCGUCUUAUUGGUCAAGAAGAAGGACGGUUCUUCGCGGUUUUGUAUUGACUAUAGAGCUCUCAAUAGAGUCACAAUUCCUGAUAAAUAUCCCAUUCCUGUCAUCGAUCAGUUGCUGGAUGAAUUACAUGGGGCUGCAGUUUUCACUAAGUUGGAUCUGCGCUCUGGUUAUCAUCAAAUUCGGAUGGCUGAAGAUGAUAUUAAGAAGACUGCUUUCAGAACCUUGGAGGGCAAUUACGAAUUUUUGGUUAUGCCGUUCGGUUUAACAAACGCUCCAGCAACAUUUCAAGCGCUAAUGAAUCAAAUUUUCAAGCCGUUUCUGCGAAAAUUUGUUCUCGUAUUCUUUGAUGAUAUUCUAAUCUUCAGCAAGAAUAUGUCAGAACAUGUAGAACACUUGAGAUUGGUACUACAAGUGUUACGGGAACAGAAGCUAUUCGCCAAUAAAAAGAAAUGUUCUUUUGGAACUUCACAAGUGGAUUAUCUUGGCCAUAUCAUUUCAAAGAAGGGUGUCGCAACAGAUAGUUUGAAAACAGAGGCGAUGAAUCAGUGGCCAGUACCAAAGAAUAUCAAACAGCUCCGGGGUUUUUUGGGUUUGACUGGUUACUAUCGACGGUUCAUACGGCUUUAUGGAGUCAUGGCUAAACCGUUGACAUCACUUCUGAAGAAAGAUCAGUUUGAUUGGAAGAGGGAAGCUCAGUUGGCGUUUGAGACAUUGAAGCGAGCAAUGGUGUCAGCCCCUGUGUUAGCAUUACCGGAUUUCAAUAAGAAGUUUGUUGUCGAGUCAGACGCUUCAGGUAUAGGAGUUGGGGCAGUCUUGAUGCAAGAUAAUCAACCAAUAGCCUAUUUCAGCCAUGCUCUUACGGGCAGAGAACAGCUUAAGCCAGCGUAUGAAAGGGAGUUGAUGGCUAUUGUCAUGGCCGUAAGGAAAUGGAAACAUUAUUUGAUAGGUCGCAGAUUUGAGGUGCUGACAGAUCAUAGAAGCUUGAAGUUUCUGCUAGAACAGAAAGAAGUUAAUUUGGAAUAUCAGAAAUGGUUGACAAAGCUGUUGGGGUUCGAUUUUGAGAUUUCUUAUAAACCAGGAUGUGAGAACAAAGCGGCUGACGGUUUGUCUCGGUGUAUGUCGGUUUCAUCAUUGUUGCUCGCACUAACGAUGCCUUCAGCACUGCAAUGGCAAGAUUUGGAUAAAGAAUGUGCGCAGGACCCUUACAUUCAGCAGACGAUACAAAAGCUACAACAAGGUACAUUACAGUCUGGAAAAUUACGGGUCAGUGAUGGCAGAUUGUGGUCUAAACAGCGGUUAGUAAUUGCGGGAGCUUCAAAGUUUAUUCCGCUGAUAUUAUCGGAGUGUCAUGACAGCAAAGUGGGAGGACAUUCCGGGGUUCUAAAAACAUUGAAACGGGUACAACGGUCUUUUUAUUGGAACAAGAUGUAUCAGACAGUGCAGGAAUAUGUGGCGAGUUGUGGUAUUUGUCAGACACACAAGCACUCAACUCUGUCUCCAGUGGGUCUUCUUCAACCAUUACCAAUUCCGGAGAGAGUUUGGGAGGAUAUAAAUAUGGACUUUAUCGAAGGUUUACCGACGUCAAAUGGUGUGAAUGUGAUAUUGGUGGUCAUUGACAGAUUGAGUAAGUAUGCACAUUUCAUUGCAUUGCAUCAUCCGUUUACUUCAACAGAUGUGGCGAGAAUUUUUAUAAGAGAUAUUGUGAAAUUACAUGGGUUUCCAAGGAGCAUUACUUCAGAUCGAGACAGGAUCUUCCUCAGUACCUUCUGGACAGAAACUUUUAGAUUGGCAGAUACUAAGCUUAAGUAUAGCACUGCGUUUCAUCCUCAAACGGAUGGACAAUCCGAAGUUUUGAACAGAUGUCUUGAGACGUAUCUGCGUUGUUUUGCUUCUGAACAUCCGCGCACUUGGUCGAAGUUUUUAUCAUGGGCAGAACUAUGGUACAACACCACAUUUCACAGUGCUCUGCAGGCAACUCCAUUCACGGUUCUUUAUGGUCGUGAACCUCCGUCGUUGUUACCAUUUGAACCGGGAUCUACAAAGAAUUUUGAGUUGGAACAAUCGUUACUGGCGCGGGAUGAGAUGUUGAUAACAUUGAAGAAAACGUUAGCUCGAGCUCAACAGGUUAUGAAGGAACAGGCAGAUAAGCACCGCAGAGAUGUCCAUUUCGCGGUAGGGGAUAUGGUGUAUCUGAAGUUGCGGCCUUAUCGUCAACAGUCAGUCGUGAAGAGAUUUUGUCAGAAGUUAGCAGCAAAAUACUAUGGACCGUAUCAGGUGACAGAACGGAUAGGUAAUGCAGCGUAUAGGCUGUUGUUGCCGGAGUCUUCGAAGAUACAUCCGGUGUUUCAUGUCUCUCAGUUGAAGUUGGCCAUAAAUCCGCAGGAACAAGUAUUAGACCUACCUCAAGUGUGUUUAGGACCGGAUCAGAUCGAGUUGGAACCUGCUGAAGUGCUGGAUAAGCGCUAUGAUUCACGCGGUGUUUUGGAGUUAUUGGUAACGUGGGUGGGAAAAUCGAGUGCUGACAAUACUUGGUUGCCUUAUCAGGAAUUCGUCGAGCAGUUUCCAGAUUACAAGCUUGAGGGCAAGCUUAGUUUUGUUGGGGGAGGUAUUGAUAGGUUCAAGAAGGCUUACUUCAGGAGGAAGAAAGGAAAGGAAGCGAGACGCGAGAGGGAAAGGAGUGACGUGGCAGGAGCCGUUGGAAGUUCAGAAUAAAGAAGAGAAGAAGCAAAGACUCUGAGGGAGGGAGAGGGUUUGCCGUUAGUCUGUUAUGAGUCUGUAACGGGAGUAUAUAAGUAGGAAGCUAGUGAGCGUAAAGGGUAUGCUUGUUGUUGUAUGUUCUUGGACGUUAUGAGUCUAGAAUACACAGUCGUUAUGAGACUGGUGAUCGGAGCUUACUCGCUAUGAGAGUAUU
Molecule: long non-coding RNA, 5444 nt
Filed under: Brassica rapa (field mustard)
Lineage: Eukaryota; Viridiplantae; Streptophyta; Magnoliopsida; Brassicales; Brassicaceae
Description: long non-coding RNA (BRAP_LNC002010)
Source: RNAcentral